AUUUACAAAUUUAUUUAGUUAAUUUUUAAAUAAAAUAUUAUUAUUUUUUAUUAAUAAUUAAUGAAAAAAUUUAAUUUAUUAUAGUUAAUAGUAUAGUGAUAGAAUAUUGAAAUAUUUGAAAAUUAAAAUUUAUUUAAAGAAUAAUUGAUUUUUAGUACCUUGUGUAUCAGGGUUUAUUAAUAAAUAUUUAUAAAUUUAAAUUUCUCGAUUUUAAAAGAGUUAAAUAUAUAUAAUUUUUAAUGUGAAAUAAUUAUUAUUAAUAUAUAUUUAGUAAUGAAACGUUAUUCGUUUUUAAAUAUAUCUAGUUUUUUAAGAAAUAAAUUUAAUUUAGAAUACAAUAUAAUUUAUUUUAAUUUAUUAAUUUAAUUUUAUUGUGUUUUUAUAUUUUAAGGGAUAAGCUUUAAAAUAAAUUUGUAUAAAUUAUUUAUUUAGUAAUUAAAAAUAGGAUUAAAAAUUUCUUUUUUUUAUAAUUUGUUAUAAUUAAUUUUUUAAUUUAAUUAUUUAUAAAAAUUUUACUUUUUAUAUUAAAAAAAUUUAUUUAAUUAAAAAAUAAAUGUAAUAAUGAUAAAAUUAGUAUAAUAAAUUGUAUAAAUAAUUAAUUAUUAUAAGGUUAGUUUAAGGAAUUCGGCAAAAUAAUUCUUCGCCUGUUUAAUAAAAACAUGUCUUUUUGAUUAUAAUUUAAAGUCUGACCUGCCCAAUGAAUAAUUUAAUGGCCGCAGUAUUUUGACUGUGCAAAGGUAGCAUAAUCAUUAGUUUUUUAAUUGAAAGCUGGAAUGAAUGGUUGGACGAGGGAAUUACUGUCUCAAAUUAAUUUAAUUAAAAUUUUAUUUUUAAGUUAAAAAGCUUAAAUAAAUUUAAAAGACGAGAAGACCCUAUAGAGUUUUAUAUUUAAUUUAAUUAAUUUUUUAUAAUUUUUUGUAUUAAUUUAAAUAUUUUGUUGGGGUGAUAAAUAAAUUUAAUAAACUUUAUUUUUUUUUUUACAUAAAUAAGUGAUUAAUUGAUCCAUUAUUAAUGAUUAAAAGAUUAAAUUACCUUAGGGAUAACAGCGUUAUCUUUUUAGAGAGUUCAAAUCGAAAAAAAGGAUUGCGACCUCGAUGUUGGAUUAAAAUUUAUUUUUGGUGUAGAAGCUAAAAUAUUAAGUCUGUUCGACUUUUAAAAUUUUACAUGAUCUGAGUUUAAACCGGCGUGAGCCAGGUUGGUUUCUAUCUUUAAAUAAAAAAAAUAUUUUAGUACGAAAGGACCAAAUAUUUAAAUUUUCUUUUUAUUUUUGAAUAUUAAU
This 1279-nucleotide ribosomal RNA is filed under the name Ochthebius salinarius. RNAcentral describes it as "16S ribosomal RNA". The stretch from base 1039 to 1197 matches the Rfam family "Archaeal large subunit ribosomal RNA", at positions 2542 to 2701 of the family's 2987-position model. Lineage: Eukaryota; Metazoa; Arthropoda; Insecta; Coleoptera; Hydraenidae. The record is from RNAcentral.